This 633-nucleotide ribosomal RNA is filed under the name bacterium. Its description in RNAcentral is "bacterial SSU rRNA". It matches the Rfam family "Bacterial small subunit ribosomal RNA", at positions 69 to 682 of the family's 1533-position model. The record is from RNAcentral.
CCCGAGUGCUUGCACUCAAUUGGAAAGAGGAGUGGCGGACGGGUGAGUAACACGUGGGUAACCUACCCAUCAGAGGGGGAUAACACUUGGAAACAGGUGCUAAUACCGCAUAACAGUUUAUGCCGCAUGGCAUAAGAGUGAAAGGCGCUUUCGGGUGUCGCUGAUGGAUGGACCCGCGGUGCAUUAGCUAGUUGGUGAGGUAACGGCUCACCAAGGCCACGAUGCAUAGCCGACCUGAGAGGGUGAUCGGCCACACUGGGACUGAGACACGGCCCAGACUCCUACGGGAGGCAGCAGUAGGGAAUCUUCGGCAAUGGACGAAAGUCUGACCGAGCAACGCCGCGUGAGUGAAGAAGGUUUUCGGAUCGUAAAACUCUGUUGUUAGAGAAGAACAAGGACGUUAGUAACUGAACGUCCCCUGACGGUAUCUAACCAGAAAGCCACGGCUAACUACGUGCCAGCAGCCGCGGUAAUACGUAGGUGGCAAGCGUUGUCCGGAUUUAUUGGGCGUAAAGCGAGCGCAGGCGGUUUCUUAAGUCUGAUGUGAAAGCCCCCGGCUCAACCGGGGAGGGUCAUUGGAAACUGGGAGACUUGAGUGCAGAAGAGGAGAGUAGAACUCCUUGGUGUAACGGG